AGCAGAGUGGCUUCACUCAGUCGCCAGCGCUGAGGAAAGGAAGGCCUGUGCCAGCCGGCGUUCCCAGCGCAGACUGCCUUGCAAGCUGCUGGCAUGCAACAAAGACCAGUCUCCCGCGGGGACCGGGGUUACUGAGAGCAUGAGCUCUACACACACGUGCAUGGGUCUUGCCUGUGUCUAGGCGUCCCCCACCUGCAGCUGAGCCACAGGGUCCCCCUAAAACAUCACGGGGGGCAGACGGUACGGUCUUACGGGGCCCUUGUCUCUGAGCACCCGGAAGGCUAUAUCCAGGCUUGAGCUGGGGCCUGACCCGGGGCUCUGGGAUGCUCCUUCUCCCCGCCCUGCUGCCAAACUUCCCGUGUGGUCCGCACUUGCCCUGGACCCCCUCCUCCUCAGCUGCCCUGUCCUGCGCCCGCCCCGAGGGGCCGAAGCGGCAGUGCCUUACUGCUCCGUGUCUUCUGCCUCCCCUGAGGGAUCCGGCCCCGUCUCAUGGUCCCAGACCUCAAUUCUCUCGUCACUUGCAUGAGUUUGC
This is a long non-coding RNA of Lemur catta (Ring-tailed lemur), 532 nucleotides long. RefSeq lists it as uncharacterized. The record is from RefSeq and is a predicted model, not a curated record. The transcript has 3 exons. Lineage: Eukaryota; Metazoa; Chordata; Mammalia; Primates; Lemuridae.